UACGUAGGGGGCAAGCGUUGUCCGGAAUCAUUGGGCGUAAAGAGCGUGUAGGCGGUUCGGUAAGUCGGAUGUGAAAGCCCUUGGCUCAACUGAGGAAGUGCAUCCGAAACUGGCAGGCUAGAGUACGAAAGAGGAUCGCGGAAUUCCCGGUGUAGAGGUGAAAUUCGUAGAUAUCGGGAGGAACACCGGUGGCGAAGGCGGCGAUCUGGGUCGAUACUGACGCUGAGGUGCGAAAGCGUGGGGAGCAAACAGG
RNAcentral lists this ribosomal RNA (253 nucleotides) under uncultured bacterium. RNAcentral describes it as "partial 16S ribosomal RNA". It matches the Rfam family "Bacterial small subunit ribosomal RNA", at positions 524 to 776 of the family's 1533-position model. The record is from RNAcentral.